UUUCCGUAGGUGAACCUGCGGAAGGAUCAUUAAAAAAUUGGACUCCAUUGGUGAGUUCAUUAAUAAUCCCUACCCUUUGUGAAUUUGUUUGUUUGAAUAAUUUUUUUUCCAAAAAAAAAUUAUUGAAUGUCUUUCCCUGUUUUGGUGGAGCUUGUAAAGUGAAACCAGGCAGGGGAAUGGCAAACAAUAAUUAUUUUUUGAAAAAAGACCUUUUUUAAAAUUAAACUUUUUGUAUUCAUUUGUCUAAAAUUAUUUUUAUAAUAUAAAAACAACUUUUGACAAUGGAUCUCUUGGUUCUCGCAACGAUGAAGAACGCAGCAAAAUGCGAUAAGUAGUGUGAAUUGCAGAAUACGUGAAUCAUCGAAUCUUCGAACGCAUAUUGCACUUUUUUAGUUUACUAAAAAAGUAUGUCUGUUUGAGUAUCAGUAAAAUAUUCUCAUAAAAAAUUUAUUUUUUAUGGUUAUGAGUGUUUUACAACGAUAACAAGUUGUUUCACUUUAAAUUCUUUGUUAUCAAAAAAAUCAUUAAAAGCUAAUUUUAAAGAUUUUUUAAAAUUGGAUAAAAUUUUCCCGUAAAAAGGAAUAACCUAAACAAUUUUAAAAAAUUAAAAUUGGUUUGAUUUUUCUUGAUUUAAAAAGGAAAAAAAAGUAAAAAUUAACUUGAUCUCAAAUCAGAUAAGAGUACCCGCUGAACUUAAGCAUAUCAAUAAGCGGAGGAAAAGAAACUAACUAGGAUUCCCUCAGUAACGGCGAGUGAAGCGGGAAGAGCUCAAAUUUGAAAUCUUCAAGGUUUUACCUUGACGAAUUGUAGUUUAAAGAAGUGUUUUCUGUUGGAGUUUUGGUAAAAGUUCUUUGGAAAAGGACAUCAUAGAGGGUGAGAAUCCCGUAUUUGACCAUUAUCUCCAGCUUUGUGAUACACUUUCAAAGAGUCGGAUUGUUUGGGAAUGCAGUCCAAAAUGGGUGGUAAAUCUCAUCUAAAGCUAAAUACUGGCGAGGGACCGAUAGCGAACAAGUACCGUGAGGGAAAGAUGAAAAGAACUUUGAAAAGAGAGUUAAACAGUACGUGAAAUUGUCAAAAGGGAAGCGUUUGACACCAGUGUUGUUUUCUCGAAAAUCAAUUAAAAAAGGCCGGAUUUUGUGUUGUAAUUGACUUUAUCAGCUUUCUGCACUUUUUUCUUGUCUUUUUUAAUGCACUUUUCGUUUAACAAGUCAACAUCAAUUUCUUUUGUUGUAAAAGGGUCAUUGGAAGGUGGCUUUCUUUUCGGAGAAAGUGUUUAUAGCCUUUGACUCUGCAAUCGGAGAGACUGAGGUCUGCAGCGUAGAUCCUUUGGAUUAGAUUCAUUUGUGCUAAGUUAUAGCUUUUAUAGACAACUUGUUGACUAUAUUAGUCAUGUAGCUUACUCGCUUAUGCUAUUU
Molecule: unclassified non-coding RNA, 1415 nt
Filed under: uncultured Neocallimastigales
Lineage: Eukaryota; Fungi; Neocallimastigomycota; Neocallimastigomycetes; Neocallimastigales
Description: partial contains small subunit ribosomal RNA, internal transcribed spacer 1, 5.8S ribosomal RNA, internal transcribed spacer 2, and large subunit ribosomal RNA
Rfam family: Eukaryotic large subunit ribosomal RNA (bases 661-1415)
Source: RNAcentral